CCAUCCAGUGGACCAUAUGGAGGUUGGUGAUACCAAUGGUAGUGAAGAUUUAAACACCCAAGUCCCAAUGUUCACAUUGCGUUCUGGAAAGGGGAGUGGAGCUGGUGCAUCUGGAGAGUGAAAGAGAGCAAAGGUAGCAAUGGAUGGCCAAAUAUCUGCUGUUGCCGCCUCUAUAGAUCGUUUGGCGACUGUGGUCAAAGAGAGGCAUGUCUCUCCUAAAGCAUUGUUGGAUGCUAUGGUAGAAGUAGAUGGAUUUAGUGAAGAUACACUUGACAUCGUCUUUGAAUUCCUCAUAGUAAAUGGACCUCAAGCAAAGGCAUUUUUAGUUAGGAAUGUGGAGCAAUGGAGGAGGUGGAUCUUGAGGUUUCUUGGUCAAGGCCAUUGAUGUGAGUUCAUCUAGGAGCAUUAUUAACUGAAGGAAAUUACAAGGGAUUAAUAGAAGUGCAACCAAGUUUAUAUAAUGUUGUGCUUGAAGAUGAUACUUACAAGGGAGAGAUCAAAAUUGGCUUUAAAUUCACAGCAAAUGUAAAAGUGCAAAAGAAAACAAGAGUAUGUAUGGAGCUGGACAAGCAAAAACCAGAGUCAAUAUAUGGAACACUCUUCAGUUUCUGGAGAAUUCCUUGGUUGAAAUUUUGAGUGCAUAUACAUGUUAAGGACUGGUUGCUAAUUUUCAUUUUACCAUCAAGCUUUUGUAGCUUUUCCCAUACUUCCAUUUAUAUCUUUUGCAGCCAUUUCUUCCUCAUAGAAGAAUGUAUUCUACUGUUCUUGAUAAACCUGAUUGGAUGAAGGGAGGCUUUGGAUUGCGUAUCACUACUUCCAUGGUCCAUCCAAACCCACCUUCCAACUCAAAAUGUUUAGAGUAAUGCAAUUGGGUUUGGGAUCUUUUUGAACAUUAGAUAUUUUUCAUGAACAAUAAUGCCAUGGAUGAAGUUGAUUAGUUUUGUAUCAGAUGAACUUAAUAUGAUUUUUCUAUUCAUUUCUAUGAAAUGAGAAGUUACAAAGUG
Molecule: long non-coding RNA, 1004 nt
Organism: Macadamia integrifolia
Lineage: Eukaryota; Viridiplantae; Streptophyta; Magnoliopsida; Proteales; Proteaceae
Exons: 3
Source: RefSeq, a predicted model, not a curated record